RNAcentral lists this ribosomal RNA (520 nucleotides) under uncultured Scutellospora. RNAcentral describes it as "SSU rRNA". It matches the Rfam family "Eukaryotic small subunit ribosomal RNA", at positions 569 to 1097 of the family's 1831-position model. The record is from RNAcentral. Lineage: Eukaryota; Fungi; Glomeromycota; Glomeromycetes; Diversisporales; Gigasporaceae.
AGCAGCCGCGGUAAUUCCAGCUCCAAUAGCGUAUAUUAAAGUUGUUGCAGUUAAAAAGCUCGUAGUUGAAUUUCGGGGUUCUACCGUUGGUCGGGCUAUUGUCUGUACUGGCGUGUAGAAUUUCUACCUUCUGGGGAACUAUCAUGUUAUUAAUUUAGCGUGGUAGGAAACCAGGACCUUUACCUUGAAAAAAUUAGAGUGUUCAAAGCAGGCUUAUGUCUGAAUACAUUAGCAUGGAAUAAUAAAAUAGGACGGUGGUCCUGUUUUGUUGGUUUCUGAAUCACCGUAAUGAUUAAUAGGGAUAGUUGGGGGCAUUAGUAUUCAAUUGUCAGAGUGAAAUUCUUGGAUUUAUUGAAGACUAACUACUGCGAAAGCAUUUGCCAAGGAUGUUUCAUUAAUCAAGAACGAAAGUUAGGGAUCGAAGACGAUCAGAUACCGUCGUAGUCUUAACCAUAAACUAUGCCGACUAGGGAUCGGACGAUGUUAACUUUUCUUGACUCGUUCGCGUCCUUACGGGAAC